Molecule: ribosomal RNA, 497 nt
Filed under: uncultured bacterium
Lineage: Bacteria
Description: partial 16S ribosomal RNA
Rfam family: Bacterial small subunit ribosomal RNA
Source: RNAcentral
GAUGAACGCUGGCUGCGUGUCUAAUACAUGCUAGUCGAGCGAACAGACGAGGAGCUUGCUCCUCUGACGUUAGCGGCUGACGGGUGAGUAACACGUGGAUAACCGACCUAUAAGACUGGUAUAACUUCGGGAAACCGGAGCUAAUACCGGAUAAUAUAUUGAACCGCAUGGUUCAAUAGUGAAAGACGGUUUUGCUGGCACGUAUAGAUUGAUCCGCGCCGCAUUAGCUAGUUGGUAAGGUAACGGCUUACCAAGGCAACGAUGCGUAGCCGACCUGAGAGGGUGAUCGGCCACACUGGAACUGAGACACGGUCCAGACUCCUACGGGAGGCAGCAGUAGGGAAUCUUCCGCAAUGGGCGAAAGCUUGACGGAGCAACGCCGCGUGAGUGAUGAAGGUCUUCGGAUCGUAAAACUCUGUUAUUAGGGAAGAACAAAUGUGUAAGUAACUAUGCACGUCUUGAGGGUACCUAAUCAGAGAGCCACGGCUAACUACGUG